This 21-nucleotide small nuclear RNA is filed under the name Arabidopsis thaliana (thale cress). Its description in RNAcentral is "snRNA_16733". The record is from RNAcentral. Lineage: Eukaryota; Viridiplantae; Streptophyta; Magnoliopsida; Brassicales; Brassicaceae.
GGUCCCAGUUCCGAACCCGUC